Molecule: ribosomal RNA, 253 nt
Filed under: uncultured bacterium
Lineage: Bacteria
Description: partial 16S ribosomal RNA
Rfam family: Bacterial small subunit ribosomal RNA
Source: RNAcentral
UACGGGGGGGGCAAGCGUUGUUCGGAAUUACUGGGCGUAAAGGGCGCGUAGGUGGCGCCCCAAGUCGAUGGUGAAAGCUCGCCGCUCAACGGCGAGUCGGCCACCGAUACUGGGGGGCUUGAGCACUGUAGAGGCAGAUGGAAUUCCGGGUGUAGCGGUGGAAUGCGUAGAGAUCCGGAAGAACACCGGUGGCGAAGGCGGUCUGCUGGGCAGUUGCUGACACUGAGGCGCGACAGCGUGGGGAGCAAACAGG